This 201-nucleotide long non-coding RNA is filed under the name Solanum tuberosum (potato). Its description in RNAcentral is "long non-coding RNA (STUB_LNC004737)". The record is from RNAcentral. Lineage: Eukaryota; Viridiplantae; Streptophyta; Magnoliopsida; Solanales; Solanaceae.
GGAUGGAAUCCAAUAUCUCCAAAGCCUACACUUAUAGAAAUGUAGAAAGAUGGGGUUAGUACAAAAAGUACCAAGUAUGGAAGCCAUGCAUAAAUAUCAUUAAAACAUGCAUAAAGGAGACAUUUCAUUUGAAAUCAUGCUAUAUGCCAUUUUUUAACAUCAUAUUUGAAAUAGUUGGAGAAUGCAACUCAUAAGACAACC